GAAUGCUAAAAAGUCAUAAUUUCAUGUCGUUUUGGUUCUUAACAAAGGGCAAACGAAUGCUCCAAGGCCCAAACGACAUCGUCUAAUAUGAGAAAAGGCAAGUUCUAGUAAACGACACUAACACAGUGCUCCUGGAUUUCGUUUCAUCUGAGUAACUACAAAGCAAAAACCCUGUCACCGCCGAAAACAUUUUCCCACUCUUCUCGACUCUUUCUCCGGCCACCGUCAUCGCUGCCACACACGACUGCGAAAACUCCGACGGUAAAUGGCUCACCAACCUUUUGACCCAUACUACGCAUACCAGCAGCAGGAUGAGCGAAGCCACAUCAACACGUUGUUUGUGUCGGGCCUCCCAGACGACGUGAAGGCGCGUGAGAUUCACAACCUCUUCCGCCGUCGCCCCGGCUUCGACUCCUGCCAGCUCAAGUACACCGGACGCGCCAACCAGGUUGUUGCGUUUGCUACUUUUUUCAAUCAUCAAUCGGCGAUGGCAGCAUUGCACGCUUUAAAUGGCGUGAAAUUUGAUCCACAAGCUGGUUCUGUUUUGCAUAUUGAACUUGCUAGGUCAAACUCAAGGAGGAAGCGUAAGCCAGGUAGCGGAGCCUAUGUUGUUAUAGAUAAACGGUCUAAAGGAGAGGCUGAUGUUCAAGGGUCAUCAAGUGAUGAUGGUGACAGUGAUCCUGAUGAACCAUCAGGAAGUGGUGGCAGCCAUGGUGAUUUAGCAACCACUAAAAGUGAGAUUAAGUUUGGCUCUGACAGUGCUGUGUCUGCGGAGCAGCAUGAAAGGGGUCCUGAUGGAGGACCAUGCUCUACUCUCUUCAUUGCAAAUCUUGGUCCAAACUGCACCGAAGAUGAACUGAGACAAACUUUCUCAGUGUAUGCUGGAUUCAACAUGGUCAAAAUCCGUUCUAGAGGAUCAAUCCCCUGUUGGUCAGUGUAGUAAAUUUUGCUUGCUUACCCCUUAUCAAUUUACUAACCUUUAUUCUUUUACAGGAAGUUGAACAAGCUACUAAGGUCAUGGAGCAGCUUCAGGGCAGCAUGCUGUCGUCGUCAGAUCGGGGUGGCAUGCACAUAGAAUACGCAAGGUCUAAAAUGAGGAAGCAUUAGAAGAAAUGGAAGCAAGCCAAUUUCCAGAUAAUUUUGUUGUUUGAUAUAAAGGCCAACAUUGUGUUUUCUCUAGCAUAGUUGCAACGUAUUGGAAAUAUUGGGAAUGUUUAUCAACCUUAGAAAACAUCUUCAUUUUGUAGUAUAUUCCUUUCACUAUUAUAAAAAAAGAUAUUCCCUCAUUUUGUUUUUA
Molecule: non-coding RNA, 1297 nt
Organism: Arachis ipaensis
Lineage: Eukaryota; Viridiplantae; Streptophyta; Magnoliopsida; Fabales; Fabaceae
Source: RefSeq, a predicted model, not a curated record